ACGUAGGUCACAAGCGUUGUCCGGAAUUACUGGGUGUAAAGGGAGCGCAGGUGGGAGAACAAGUUGGAAGUGAAAUCCAUGGGCUCAACCCAUGAACUGCUUUCAAAACUGUUUUUCUUGAGUAGUGCAGAGGUAGGCGGAAUUCCCGGUGUAGCGGUGGAAUGCGUAGAUAUCGGGAGGAACACCAGUGGCGAAGGCGGCCUACUGGGCACCAACUGACGCUGAGGCUCGAAAGUGUGGGUAGCAAACAG
Molecule: ribosomal RNA, 251 nt
Filed under: uncultured bacterium
Lineage: Bacteria
Description: partial 16S ribosomal RNA
Rfam family: Bacterial small subunit ribosomal RNA
Source: RNAcentral